Pongo pygmaeus (Bornean orangutan) is the source of this 1453-nucleotide long non-coding RNA. RefSeq lists it as uncharacterized. The record is from RefSeq and is a predicted model, not a curated record. Lineage: Eukaryota; Metazoa; Chordata; Mammalia; Primates; Hominidae. The transcript has 3 exons.
UGGUGGCCUUGUCCCUGGCGGCUCUGGGAUGUGGGCCAGAAGCCAGUCCCUGGUGUUGAAAUAGGAUCCAAAGAACAGCUCAACUCCGAAUAGGCGCGUUUCCAUCGCCGCCAUAGCUGGUGGCCGUCAGAUUGGACAGCACGGUAGAGGUGGGUCAGGAAAGGCAAGGAGAGCACUUUCGGAAGCAUCUGGAUCCUGGGCCCUCGGGGAGGGCGGGGCCUGGGUCCUGAUGUGAGGAACCUGUUCCUGGAGCCUGUCUGUGGCCGAGAGGGCCUCCUUCCUGGCUGACACAUCACCUGCUCCGUCCAGGCCACGAGAAGCAGCUGUGGCCCAAGCCCAUGACCCUGCCUUUCUUCCCCAGGUGCAUGUCACCCUCUGUGGCAGCCUGGGAUACGCACGAGCUCCUCAGGAGGGCGGAGCUCCGUGGAACACACAUCUGGAUGACAGGAGGGAGCCAGGAGCUGUGAGAAGAGGGGGAGCUGCCACCGCAAGAAUGCAAGGCCCAUGGGCUCUACGAUGUGGGGGAGCAGCGGGCAUCUGAGGAAGGGGCGUCAGGGGCACAUGGCCAGCCCUCUUCACCCCACAGUCUGCCCCAGGCCAGCCCCACUAGGAGUGACCCAUUUUCUCCUAGCAGGAUUCCUUGCAUGGGGUGGCCUGGACCCAAAACUCCCGCUCUGAGGAUUCCCUGUCAACCACAGAGAAGGUUAACUCAAGUUUCUUUAUUUGGCCAUGAAAUUUUGGGGCAUCUCACGGUGCUUCUUGGGUCCACUGGAGAGCCCUGGGAGCUCAGAAGAGGCAAGAGGGGCCUACUUCUCCGUUGUUUGGGCUUUGCUAAAUACCAAUAUUAGAUUAGGCAACGCUGCAAACAAAACCAAGGCCUGGCCAGCUGCCCAGGGUGUUUAAAGGCCAACGGAUGAAGGCAGGACGUGUGCCCGUGGACUUGCACACUCAAGCAGGCCGAGGGGAGAGCAGCCCGGCGGAGACCUUGGUGGUCCGGGGCUGAGCAAGGCUUCCCCCACCGACCAGUCCGUCCCAGUGCGCUCAGCACAGGAGUUAGCGGCCGCACAUUCAGCCAUUGUCUUAUUUUAGAAAAUGACAUCCGCUGGGUGCGGUGGCUCACGCCUGUAAUCCCAGCAUUUUGGGAGGCCGAGGUCAGGAGUGAUCCACUUUGGGUGGACCACAAGGUCAGGAGUUCAAGACCAGCCUGGCCAACACGGUGAAACUCCGUCUCUACUCAAAAUACAAAAAUCAGCCAGGCGUGAUGGCUCACACCUAUAAUCCCAGCUAUUUGGGAGGCUGAGGCAGGAGAAUGGCUUGAACCUGGGAGGCGGAGGUUGCAGUGAGCCAAGAUUUCGCCACUGCACUGCAGCCUGGGCGACAGAGCGAGACUCCGUCUCAAAAAAAAAAGAAGAUGACAUCCAUGAUGUUAAUAAAAGCGGACGUAUUAGGGGAA